RNAcentral lists this unclassified non-coding RNA (229 nucleotides) under plant metagenome. RNAcentral describes it as "partial contains small subunit ribosomal RNA, internal transcribed spacer 1, and 5.8S ribosomal RNA". The record is from RNAcentral.
UAUCCGUAGGUGAACCUGCGGAGGGAUCAUUACAGAGUUCAUGCCCUACCGGGUAGAUCUCCCACCCUAUGUUAUUAUUACUUUGUUGCUUUGGCGGGCCGUUAGGCUCCGGCCCGACUACCGGCUCCGGCUGGUAAGCGCCCGCCAGAGGACCCAAAACCCUGAAUAUUAGUGUCGUCUGAGUACUAUAUAAUAGUUAAAACUUUCAACAACGGAUCUCUUGGUUCUG